UCAGAAAGUAGUUUUAAAAAAAAAUUUUAGUUUUGGGAAUUAAUGAUAGAGCUAGUUAGGUUCUCUUUCUGAA
Molecule: transfer RNA, 73 nt
Filed under: Munidopsis lauensis
Lineage: Eukaryota; Metazoa; Arthropoda; Malacostraca; Decapoda; Munidopsidae
Description: tRNA-Pro
Source: RNAcentral